Molecule: ribosomal RNA, 497 nt
Filed under: uncultured bacterium
Lineage: Bacteria
Description: partial 16S ribosomal RNA
Rfam family: Bacterial small subunit ribosomal RNA
Source: RNAcentral
GAUGAACGCUGGCGGCGUGCCUAAUACAUGCAAGUCGAGCGAACAGACGAGGAGCUUGCUCCUCUGACGUUAGCGGCGGACGGGUGAGUAACACGUGGAUAACCUACCUAUAAGACUGGGAUAACUUCGGGAAACCGGAGCUAAUACCGGAUAAUAUAUUGAACCGCAUGGUUCAAUAGUGAAAGACGGUUUUGCUGUCACUUAUAGAUGGAUCCGCGCCGCAUUAGCUAGUUGGUAAGGUAACGGCUUACCAAGGCAACGAUGCGUAGCCGACCUGAGAGGGUGAUCGGCCACACUGGAACUGGGACACGGUCCAGACUCCUACGGGAGGCAGCAGUAGGGAAUCUUCCGCAAUGGGCGAAAGCCUGACGGAGCAACGCCGCGUGAGUGAUGAAGGUCUUCGGAUCGUAAAACUCUUUUAUUAGGGAAGAACAAAUGUGUAAGUAACUAUGCACGUCUUGACGGUACCUAAUCAGAAAGCCACGGCUAACUACGUG